UACGGAGGGUGCAAGCGUUAUUCGGAAUUAUUGGGCGUAAAGAGCGCGUAGGCGGUUUCUUAAGUCAGAUGUGAAAGCCCAGGGCUUAACCCUGGAAGUGCAUUUGAAACUAAGGGACUUGAGUAUGGGAGAGGGAAGUGGAAUUCCUGGUGUAGCGGUGAAAUGCGUAGAUAUCAGGAGGAACACCGGUGGCGAAGGCGACUUCCUGGACCAAUACUGACGCUGAGGCGCGAAGGCGUGGGGAGCAAACAGG
RNAcentral lists this ribosomal RNA (253 nucleotides) under uncultured bacterium. RNAcentral's name for it is "partial 16S ribosomal RNA". It matches the Rfam family "Bacterial small subunit ribosomal RNA", at positions 524 to 776 of the family's 1533-position model. The record is from RNAcentral.